CUCAGACGGACCCAUUAGUGCAUCUAACCAGCAUGGAAGCUAAGAAUUGUGUCCUGACAAGAAGCAAACACUCUAUCUCUCUGAGCCCUGACAGAAGAGGCAACAUGAUCUGAAACCCAGUCUCGCUUUGCUGUGCAGUCAUUAAUAAAGCUACAGGAAGAGGAAGAGGAGGCCAGCACUGAAAAUCAAAUGAGCACCACCAGGAAAGGAAAUCAUGCCUCACAUAUCAGACAGGAAAGAAGAAAACAGAACUUCACCAGAACCACAAUCCUGUCAUCACAAUGCUUAUUUUGGGGCUCGAUACAUUAUGAUCUUCAAACGUUUGCCACUGUCAAAGGCCAGGAAAUUGUCAUUGUGUCAAGAGAUUAGAAAAUUCUUAAAUCCAACAGUGAUGCAAACCAUCACUGAUACAUAACCCUAAUACCAUAAGUCUUCUAGUGCAUUUCUCUGAAGAAAGAUUAUGCUCCACACCAAUGUACCUAACACACAAGAGGUGGAAAUAUCUUAUCAAACUAGUCUCAAACUUCUGAUUAAAAUGAGGCUGCACAUUAUUUCAUUUGUC
Molecule: long non-coding RNA, 562 nt
Organism: Lepisosteus oculatus (spotted gar)
Lineage: Eukaryota; Metazoa; Chordata; Actinopteri; Semionotiformes; Lepisosteidae
Source: Ensembl